This 617-nucleotide ribosomal RNA is filed under the name Colletotrichum nymphaeae. RNAcentral's name for it is "partial large subunit ribosomal RNA". It matches the Rfam family "Eukaryotic large subunit ribosomal RNA", at positions 23 to 664 of the family's 3401-position model. The record is from RNAcentral. Lineage: Eukaryota; Fungi; Ascomycota; Sordariomycetes; Glomerellales; Glomerellaceae.
ACCCGCUGAAUUUAAGCAUAUCAAUAAGCGGAGGAAAAGAAACCAACAGGGAUUGCCCCAGUAACGGCGAGUGAAGCGGCAACAGCUCAAAUUUGAAAUCUGGCCCCAGGCCCGAGUUGUAAUUUGCAGAGGAUGCUUUUGGCGCGGUGCCUUCCGAGUUCCCUGGAACGGGACGCCAUAGAGGGUGAGAGCCCCGUACGGUUGGACACCAAGCCUUUGUAAAGCUCCUUCGACGAGUCGAGUAGUUUGGGAAUGCUGCUCUAAAUGGGAGGUACAUUUCUUCUAAAGCUAAAUAUUGGCCAGAGACCGAUAGCGCACAAGUAGAGUGAUCGAAAGAUGAAAAGCACUUUGAAAAGAGGGUUAAACAGCACGUGAAAUUGUUAAAAGGGAAGCGCUUGUGACCAGACUUGCGUCCGGUGAAUCACCCAGCUCUCGCGGCUGGGGCACUUCGCCGGCACAGGCCAGCAUCAGCUUGCCGUCGGGGACAAAAGCUUCAGGAACGUGGCUCCUCUCGGGGAGUGUUAUAGCCUGUUGCAUAAUACCCUUCGGCGGGCUGAGGUACGCGCUCCGCAAGGAUGCUGGCGUAAUGGUCAUCAGCGACCCGUCUUGAAACACGG